This 472-nucleotide ribosomal RNA is filed under the name uncultured organism. RNAcentral's name for it is "partial 16S ribosomal RNA". It matches the Rfam family "Bacterial small subunit ribosomal RNA", at positions 335 to 798 of the family's 1533-position model. The record is from RNAcentral.
ACUCCUGCGGGAGGCAGCAGUGGGGAAUUUUGGACAAUGGGCGAAAGCCUGAUCCAGCAAUGCCGCGUGAGUGAAGAAGGCCUUCGGGUUGUAAAGCUCUUUUGUCAGGGAAGAAACGGUGAAAGCUAAUAUCUUUUGCUAAUGACGGUACCUGAAGAAUAAGCACCGGCUAACUACGUGCCAGCAGCCGCGGUAAUACGUAGGGUGCAAGCGUUAAUCGGAAUUACUGGGCGUAAAGCGUGCGCAGGCGGUUUUGUAAGUCUGAUGUGAAAUCCCCGGGCUCAACCUGGGAAUUGCAUUGGAGACUGCAAGGCUAGAAUCUGGCAGAGGGGGGUAGAAUUCCACGUGUAGCAGUGAAAUGCGUAGAUAUGUGGAGGAACACCGAUGGCGAAGGCAGCCCCCUGGGUCAAGAUUGACGCUCAUGCACGAAAGCGUGGGGAGCAAACAGGAUGAGAAACCCUUGUAGUCCCAU